AACGCUGGCGGCAGGCUUAACACACGCAAGUCGAGCGGGGAAAGGUAGCUUGCUACCUAACCUAGCGGCGGACGGGUGAGUAAUGCUUAGGAAUCUGCCUAUUAGUGGGGGACAACAUUCCGAAAGGAAUGCUAAUACCGCAUACCCCCUACGGGGGAAAGCAGGGGAUCUUCGGACCUUGCGCUAAUAGAUGAGCCUAAGUCAAAUUAGCUAGUUGGGGGGGUAAAGGCCUACCAAGGCGACGAUCUGUAGCGGGUCUGAGAGGAUGAUCCGCCACACUGGGACUGAGACACGGCCCACACUCCUACGGGAGGCAGCAGUGGGGAAUAUUGGACAAUGGGCGAAAGCCUGAUCCAGCCAUGCCGCGUGUGUGAAGAAGGCCUUUUGGUUGUAAAGCACUUUAAGCGAGGAGGAGGCUACUUGGAUUAAUACUCUAGGAUAGUGGACGUUACUCGCAGAAUAAGCACCGGCUAACUCUGUGCCAGCAGCCGCGGUAAUACAGAGGGUGCGAGCGUUAAUCGGAUUUACUGGGCGUAAAGCGUGCGUAGGCGGCUUUUUAAGUCGGAUGUGAAAUCCCUGGGCUUAACUUAGGAAUUGCAUUCGAUACUGGGAAGCUAGAGUAUGGGAGAGGA
This 632-nucleotide ribosomal RNA is filed under the name uncultured bacterium. RNAcentral describes it as "bacterial SSU rRNA". It matches the Rfam family "Bacterial small subunit ribosomal RNA", at positions 32 to 658 of the family's 1533-position model. The record is from RNAcentral.